This 301-nucleotide ribosomal RNA is filed under the name uncultured bacterium. RNAcentral's name for it is "partial 16S ribosomal RNA". It matches the Rfam family "Bacterial small subunit ribosomal RNA", at positions 509 to 807 of the family's 1533-position model. The record is from RNAcentral.
CAGUAGCCACGGUAAUACAGAGGAUGCAAGCGUUAUCCGGAAUGAUUGGGCGUAAAGGGCUCGCAGGCGGUUUCUUAAGUCUGAUGUGAAAGCCCCCGGCUCAACCGGGGAGGGUCAUUGGAAACUGGGAAACUUGAGUGCAGAAGAGGAGAGUGGAAUUCCACGUGUAGCGGUGAAAUGCGUAGAGAUGUGGAGGAACACCAGUGGCGAAGGCGACUCUCUGGUCUGUAACUGACGCUGAGGAGCGAAAGCGUGGGGAGCGAACAGGAUUAGAUACCCCCGUAGUCCCUGUCUCUUAUAC